RNAcentral lists this ribosomal RNA (301 nucleotides) under uncultured bacterium. RNAcentral's name for it is "partial 16S ribosomal RNA". It matches the Rfam family "Bacterial small subunit ribosomal RNA", at positions 509 to 807 of the family's 1533-position model. The record is from RNAcentral.
CAGUAGCCGCGGUAAUGCGUAGGUGGCAAGCGUUGUCCGGAAUUAUUGGGCGUAAAGGGCUCGCAGGCGGUUUCUUAAGUCUGAUGUGAAAGCCCCCGGCUCAACCGGGGAGGGUCACUGGAAACUGGGAAACUUGAGUGCAGAAGAGGAGAGUGGAAUUCCACGUGUAGCGGUGAAAUGCGUAGAGAUGUGGAGGAACACCAGUGGCGAAGGCGACUCUCUGGUCUGUAACUGACGCUGAGGAGCGAAAGCGUGGGGAGCGAACAGGAUUAGAUACCCCGGUAGUCCCUGUCUCUUAUAC